RNAcentral lists this transfer RNA (65 nucleotides) under Oncopodura yosiiana. Its description in RNAcentral is "tRNA-Thr". It matches the Rfam family "tRNA". Rfam says of the family: Transfer RNA (tRNA) molecules are approximately 80 nucleotides in length. Their secondary structure includes four short double-helical elements and three loops (D, anti-codon, and T loops). Lineage: Eukaryota; Metazoa; Arthropoda; Collembola; Entomobryomorpha; Oncopoduridae. The record is from RNAcentral.
GCUAUUGUAAUUUAAUAAAAAUAUUAGUUUUGUAAACUAAAAAUUAAGUAUUUCUUACUAGAGCA